This 176-nucleotide long non-coding RNA is filed under the name Lepidothrix coronata (blue-crowned manakin). RNAcentral describes it as "HOXA11 antisense RNA 1 conserved region 2 (ENSLCOG00000001684.1)". It matches the Rfam family "HOXA11 antisense RNA 1 conserved region 2". The record is from RNAcentral. Lineage: Eukaryota; Metazoa; Chordata; Aves; Passeriformes; Pipridae.
GAAUGUGCCAGGGUCAAGUCUUUACUAAUUUUCAUGGUGAAUAGAUUACAUGCUUGCAUUCAUGUUCACUUCCGAAGCGCUUAGUGUCUUCCUUCCCUUACUUACAUAUUAACCUCAAAUACCCCGCGUGGCUUCAGCCAAGCUGUACUGGAGGUAAUUAACAAUACCAGGUUCCC